AUAAAAAAAAACCUUGAAUUUCCGUUUCUGUCCGUCUUAUAUGAAAUUUUUUUAUAAUUAGUAUUUUCAUUGUUGUUAGAUGAUAAAACAUAAUUAUUAUUUUAUGCGUGAUUUGUCUUUUUAUUUUUUUUUCAUAUUUUUUUCAAAUAAGACGGACGGUCAAACGUUAGAUACAGAAACCCAGGGUUUGUCUUUUU
Molecule: microRNA precursor, 197 nt
Filed under: Oryza sativa Indica Group (long-grained rice)
Lineage: Eukaryota; Viridiplantae; Streptophyta; Magnoliopsida; Poales; Poaceae
Description: MIR812 microRNA precursor family
Rfam family: MIR812 microRNA precursor family
Source: Rfam by way of RNAcentral